ACCCUGUGGAGAUGAGAGGCUUU
This 23-nucleotide non-coding RNA is filed under the name Cricetulus griseus (Chinese hamster). The record is from RNAcentral. Lineage: Eukaryota; Metazoa; Chordata; Mammalia; Rodentia; Cricetidae.